This 731-nucleotide ribosomal RNA is filed under the name uncultured eukaryote. RNAcentral's name for it is "SSU rRNA". It matches the Rfam family "Eukaryotic small subunit ribosomal RNA", at positions 670 to 1426 of the family's 1831-position model. The record is from RNAcentral.
CGGGUGCACUGAUCCAGCCGGGCCUUUCCCUCUGUGGAACCCCAUGGCCUUCACUGGCUGUGGUGGGGAAACAGGACUUUUACUUUGAAAAAAUUAGAGUGCUCCAGGCAGGCCUAUGCUCGAAUACAUUAGCAUGGAAUAAAUAGAAUAGGACGUGUGGUUCUAUUUUGUUGGUUUCUAGGCCCGCCGUAAUGAUUAAUAGGGACAGUCGGGGGCAUCAGUAUUCAAUUGUCAGAGGUGAAAUUUUUGGAUCUAUUGAAGACUAACUACUGCGAAAGCAUUUGCCAAGGAUGUUUUUCAUUGAUAAGGAACGAAAGUUAGGGGAUCGAAGACGAUCAGAUACCGUCGUAGUCUUAACUAUAAACUAUGCCGACUAGGGAUCGGACGAUGUUAUUCUUUGACGCGUUCGGCACCUUUCGAGAAAUCAAAGUGCUUGGGCUCCAGGGGGAGUAUGGUCGCAAGGCUGAAACUUAAAGAAAUUGACGGAAGGGCACCACCAGGGGUGGAACCUGCGGCUUAAUUUGACUCAACACGGGGAAACUCACCAGGUCCAGACACAGUGAGGAUUGACAGAUUGAGAGCUCUUUCUUGAUUCUGUGGGUGGUGGUGCAUGGCCGUUCUUAGUUGGUGGAGUGAUUUGUCUGCUUAAUUGCGAUAACGAACGAGACCUUAACCUGCUAAAUAGCCCGUACUGCUUUGGCAGUUCGCCGGCUUCUUAGAGGGACUAUCGG